This 678-nucleotide long non-coding RNA is filed under the name Homo sapiens (human). Its description in RNAcentral is "non-protein coding lnc-DHX37-28:1". The record is from RNAcentral. Lineage: Eukaryota; Metazoa; Chordata; Mammalia; Primates; Hominidae.
AUUAGGCUGUGAGUAUCUCAGGAAAUGACCAUAUCUAAUUCACAAGAGCCUAAGAUGUAGUGAACACUGAAAACAUAUGAGUUGAAUGCAAUGUAGAAAGCGUGGAAUGAUAAACAAAUUGAUUCUGAUCAGUUAGUAUUUCAAGAUAGAAGGAUAGAGAUACAGAUAGAGUAUAGAUAUAAAAAUCCACAUACAGGUAUCUCCAGAUUCACUCACUGAAGCACUUUCCAAUUCAUGAGUCAAUACAUCCCUUCCUAGGAUAAUCUGAAGCUCUGUUGUUUGCAAUGGAAAAUGUUAUAUGCUACAUAUAGCCAUUUUAUUUGCUCUGAAUCUGGAGUUACACUUUGAGCUGUGCUUGGCAUACUGGUUCUUCUACCUGGAUUAGCUUGGGUCACUCAUAUGGUUGUAGUCAUCCGGUAGCUCUGUUGUGAAGUUGAUGCUGGCCAGGUCUCUCUCUCCAUGUGGCUUCUCAACCUCUAGAGCGUAAAUACAGGGUUUCCCCCGCCUCUUCCCCCACCUCCUCAGGGUUUAGACAUUCUAACAGGGAACAAACUGAAGUGGCAAGGGUUCUUGAAGCCUACGCCCAGAAGUGGUCCAAUGACUCUUCUGCCAUAUUCCAUUGGCCAAAGCACACCUUGAGGCAAGCUUACAUCACAAGGAUAGAAAAUUACACUGCAC